GGAUGUGAGAGCGAUCUGGCUGCGACAUCUGUCACCCCACUGAUCGCCAACAUUGAUUCGGCUGAUCGGGCUGGCCAGGCCGGGGUCUCCUUCCUCCCUCAACGAUCCAUGUGCGUCCUUCCUGAAGCUGCGCGCUCAGUCGAAGAGGAUGACCACCCCUGGUAGAGGAGGACCGUUCCUCAGUCAGAGGUGUACCAGUAGCUGUGCUCCCCGCUAGAACCUCCAAAUAAGCUCUCAAGAAUAAAUAAAAAUUACAUAACUGUAGCUGGUAACUAAAACUAACUACCAAGAGAGUAGAGUAUGCAAUGUGUUAAUUAUUGAAACU
RNAcentral lists this small nuclear RNA (325 nucleotides) under Octodon degus (degu). RNAcentral describes it as "7SK RNA (ENSODEG00000023798.1)". It matches the Rfam family "7SK RNA". From Rfam's summary of the family: 7SK was discovered as an abundant small nuclear RNA in the mid-70s but a possible function has only recently been suggested. Two independent studies have found that 7SK RNA binds the CDK9/cyclin T complex (known as elongation factor P-TEFb). The record is from Rfam by way of RNAcentral. Lineage: Eukaryota; Metazoa; Chordata; Mammalia; Rodentia; Octodontidae.